UGUUUUUUUUAGGCACGGAGUAAAGCUAGCUGUGAGAAGUCAGCCGAAGCCAUAGUACUCAAUUACGCCCGGAUUGGGGAAGGGC
Non-coding RNA from Sphingobacterium sp. 21, 85 nucleotides. The record is from Rfam. Lineage: Bacteria; Pseudomonadati; Bacteroidota; Sphingobacteriia; Sphingobacteriales; Sphingobacteriaceae.